GAGUUUGAUCCUGGCUCAGAUUGAACGCUGGCGGUAUGCUUAACACAUGCAAGUCGAACGGCAGCAUAAGAGAGCUUGCUCUCUUGAUGGUGAGUGGCGGACGGGUGAGUAAUACGUAGGAAUCUAUCCAUGUAGCUGGGGAUAACUUGGGGAAACUCAAGCUAACACCGAAUACGCUCUACGGAGGAAAGAGGGGGACCUUUCGGGGCCUCUCACUAUUGGGUGAGCCUACGCCGGAUUAGCUUGUUGGUGGGGUAAUGGCCUACCAAGGCGACGAUCCGUAGCUGGUCUGAGAGGACGAUCAGCCACACUGGGACUGAGACACGGCCCAGACUCCUACGGGAGGCAGCAGUGGGGAAUAUUGGACAAUGGGGGCAACCCUGAUCCAGCAAUACCGCGUGUGUGAAGAAGGCCUGCGGGUUGUAAAGCACUUUCAGUAGGGAAGAAAAGCUGUUGAUUAAUACUCGACGGUCUUGACGUUACCUACAGAAGAAGCACCGGCUAACUCCGUGCCAGCAGCCGCGGUAAUAAGGGCGA
RNAcentral lists this ribosomal RNA (537 nucleotides) under uncultured Granulosicoccus sp. Its description in RNAcentral is "bacterial SSU rRNA". It matches the Rfam family "Bacterial small subunit ribosomal RNA", at positions 9 to 532 of the family's 1533-position model. Lineage: Bacteria; Pseudomonadati; Pseudomonadota; Gammaproteobacteria; Chromatiales; Granulosicoccaceae. The record is from RNAcentral.